CAUUAGCAUAAUUCACAAGAAAACAAUACAUCUUUCAAAGGUUUAAUUUUGAAGAUUGGAGAAAAAAUAUGUUUUGGUAAGGAAAUUAUCAAAGACAAGAUGGUGGCUUACAUUACUUAGCAAAAACUGGUCGUAUCCUGCGGUGAUUUUGGUUAUCUUGGUCUGUGAAUACAAGCAAAAAUUAAAAAAAAUAGAUCGAUCUUGGAAGCUUUGCAUAUUUUAGAAGGCCAAAAAUUGUUUCAAACUGGCUGAAAUUUUAUUCGGACAUGACAACUGACUGUAUCGAAAUUUAUCUCGGCCCUACUGAUUUUUAGUUGGCGAGGUCCGAGGACCGACAGCCUUUCGCACAGACUGCAAUUUACAGUUGGUAUAGUAAUUUUUAGUGUUUGAUGAUCAGAAGAUUUUUUUUCCUUCUGAAAAUCAUGGAGUUGAAUAAUUUAAAUCUGUGUGAAAGCGCAAAGAGAAAGAGACUGAAAAUUAAUUUAUUAUUUCUAUGGACAAUAUAGAUGUAAUACAUUUGUAAUCAAACAUGUGGGUCAAUUUCCAACAGUAGUUGAAUUAUGACAAAGUAUUUUUAAUAAUUUUAUUUCACUUUUAGCUACUUGAAAAUUUCAUGCUGGAUGUUUGCUUACCAUUACAUUUUGCAUAAGAGCUCUAUGAUUGACAUUAAAGUCCACGGGCCAAUUCAUUUCUGAUAUAUCUUUCCGAUAUCUUGUUAUAAUAUAAAAGGCUGAACGUCAUCAUAGAAUUAUUAGGAAAAAAUAUAUAUGUUCAUUCUUUGUAAAAAUGUUAGAAGACUUGCAAGUUACCGAUUUUAUCAUUGCAUUGAUUUUAUUUAUUAUUGAAAAAAUGCUGAACGGCUAUCCUCAACAGUGUGUAUAGGCUAGAACUUUCAGUUUGCAUUUUAGGGUCAUGACGGCUUUCCCGUUGCUGUCAACAAACUUUAACCUUUUUCAUAACUUUUCAGAUCUUGGUGUAUUGUCUUCAUACUUGGCCACAACAACCCUUCAAAUAGACCAGACUAAACUUGACCUCCAUAUAAACAUUCAAGAUGGUCGGCCUACAUGUCAGAUUUGUGAAUGUGAACGGCAGGAUAUCGAUUUUAAGGAUGCUUUAGGGUCAAUGAGGAUGAAAUCAAGAGAGAUAAAGGCUAAAAUGUGAGACUGUCAAUCUGACAAACCUUGCAGUGAAUAAAUGGAAACAGAGGCGUUUGUAUGAUAGAACAGUAAUAGCAGGAGUGAUAAGGACAGAUGCAUGUAGAUGUGUCUUCAUGUCGGAAACACUACUAGAGAAAUUGAAAUAUUUGGGUUUUUCAAAACUUAAAAGAAAUUGGAAUACCAGGAGACUGCUUGCCCUUUGCAAUGUUGGAUGAUGUGAUGUCGAAAGCCUCAUGAAUAUAGUAACUUGACUUAAUCUAAUUAGAAAAAGAAAUGACAUUGAGGAGAAAACUAGUCACCAGUCUUUCACCAAGAACAUGAGAUAACUUUCCAAUAUUUGAAAUAUCAUAAUAUGUAUAGAACUUUAAUGAGCGAACAGUUUUUCACCAGGAAAAUAAGAUCACUUAUCUAUUUUUGAAAUAUGUAUGAACAGAACUCUAUCAACUUCAAGGUGAGAGUUUAUCACGAAGAACAUGAGAUAACCUAUGUAUGAACAGAACCACAUUUGUAUAUAGAGGCGCCAGUUCAUCACCAAGAAGAUGAGCUAACUUAUCAAUGUUUGAAAUCUGUUAUACCCCCGCACAACAAAGUUGUAAGGGGGGUAUACUGGAAUCAGCUUGUCCGGCCGUCGGGAGUUCGUCAGUUUUUUCUUGUCCUUCCAAUAACUUAAGAUUCCUUUGACCCACAGUCUUCAUAUUUGGCAUGGAGGUAAGUCAUGAUUAGUAGAUGACCUCUAUUAAUUUUGAGAACACCAAGUCAAAGGUCAAGGUCACAGGGUCUUGACUGAAGAAAGCUUUUCUGCCCAAUAACUUAAGAAUCCUUCGACCCACAGUCUUCAUUUUUGGCAUGGAGGUUAGUCAUGAUUAGUAGAUGACCCCUAUUUAUUUUCAGGUCACCAGGUCUAAGGUCAUGGUCACAGGGGCCUUGGCUAAUUAAAGCUUGUCCGCCCAAUUACCUAAGAAUCCUUUGACCCGUAGUCUUCAUAUUUGGCAUGGAGGUUAGUCAA
This is a long non-coding RNA of Ruditapes philippinarum (Manila clam), 2163 nucleotides long. RefSeq lists it as uncharacterized. The transcript has 3 exons. The record is from RefSeq and is a predicted model, not a curated record. NCBI's taxonomy places the organism in Eukaryota, Metazoa, Mollusca, Bivalvia, Venerida, Veneridae.